AAAUUGAAGAGUUUGAUCAUGGCUCAGAUUGAACGCUGGCGGCAGGCCUAACACAUGCAAGUCGAACGGUAACAGGAAGCAGCUUGCUGCUUUGCUGACGAGUGGCGGACGGGUGAGUAAUGUCUGGGAAACUGCCUGAUGGAGGGGGAUAACUACUGGAAACGGUGGCUAAUACCGCAUAACGUCGCAAGACCAAAGAGGGGGACCUUCGGGCCUCUUGCCAUCAGAUGUGCCCAGAUGGGAUUAGCUUGUUGGUGAGGUAACGGCUCACCAAGGCGACGAUCCCUAGCUGGUCUGAGAGGAUGACCAGCCACACUGGAACUGAGACACGGUCCAGACUCCUACGGGAGGCAGCAGUGGGGAAUAUUGCACAAUGGGCGCAAGCCUGAUGCAGCCAUGCCGCGUGUAUGAAGAAGGCCUUCGGGUUGUAAAGUACUUUCAGCGGGGAGGAAGGUGUUGUGGUUAAUAACCGCAGCAAUUGACGUUACCCGCAGAAGAAGCACCGGCUAACUCCGUGCCAGCAGCCGCGGUAAUACGGAGGGUGCAAGCGUUAAUCGGAAUUACUGGGCGUAAAGCGCACGCAGGCGGUCUGUCAAGUCGGAUGUGAAAUCCCCGGGCUCAACCUGGGAACUGCAUUCGAAACUGGCAGGCUUGAGUCUUGUAGAGGGGGGUAGAAUUCCAGGUGUAGCGGUGAAAUGCGUAGAGAUCUGGAGGAAUACCGGUGGCGAAGGCGGCCCCCUGGACAAAGACUGACGCUCAGGUGCGAAAGCGUGGGGAGCAAACAGGAUUAGAUACCCUGGUAGUCCACGCCGUAAACGAUGUCUACUUGGAGGUUGUGCCCUUGAGGCGUGGCUUCCGGAGCUAACGCGUUAAGUAGACCGCCUGGGGAGUACGGCCGCAAGGUUAAAACUCAAAUGAAUUGACGGGGGCCCGCACAAGCGGUGGAGCAUGUGGUUUAAUUCGAUGCAACGCGAAGAACCUUACCUGGUCUUGACAUCCACAGAAGAAUCCAGAGAUGGAUUUGUGCCUUCGGGAACUGUGAGACAGGUGCUGCAUGGCUGUCGUCAGCUCGUGUUGUGAAAUGUUGGGUUAAGUCCCGCAACGAGCGCAACCCUUAUCCUUUGUUGCCAGCGGUUAGGCCGGGAACUCAAAGGAGACUGCCAGUGAUAAACUGGAGGAAGGUGGGGAUGACGUCAAGUCAUCAUGGCCCUUACGACCAGGGCUACACACGUGCUACAAUGGCGCAUACAAAGAGAAGCGACCUCGCGAGAGCAAGCGGACCUCAUAAAGUGCGUCGUAGUCCGGAUUGGAGUCUGCAACUCGACUCCAUGAAGUCGGAAUCGCUAGUAAUCGUGGAUCAGAAUGCCACGGUGAAUACGUUCCCGGGCCUUGUACACACCGCCCGUCACACCAUGGGAGUGGGUUGCAAAAGAAGUAGGUAGCUUAACCUUCGGGAGGGCGCUUACCACUUUGUGAUUCAUGACUGGGGUGAAGUCGUAACAAGGUAACCGUAGGGGAACCUGCGGUUGGAUCACCUCCUUACCUUAAAGAAGC
RNAcentral lists this ribosomal RNA (1554 nucleotides) under Salmonella enterica. RNAcentral describes it as "bacterial SSU rRNA". It matches the Rfam family "Bacterial small subunit ribosomal RNA". The record is from RNAcentral. Lineage: Bacteria; Pseudomonadati; Pseudomonadota; Gammaproteobacteria; Enterobacterales; Enterobacteriaceae. RNAcentral also lists the same sequence under 63 other names.